RNAcentral lists this unclassified non-coding RNA (315 nucleotides) under plant metagenome. RNAcentral describes it as "partial contains 5.8S ribosomal RNA, internal transcribed spacer 2, and large subunit ribosomal RNA". The stretch from base 1 to 105 matches the Rfam family "5.8S ribosomal RNA", at positions 50 to 154 of the family's 154-position model. The record is from RNAcentral.
GAACUGCGAUAAGUAAUGUGAAUUGCAGAAUUCAGUGAAUCAUCGAGUCUUUGAACGCACAUUGCGCCCCCUGGCAUUCCGGGGGGCAUGCCUGUCCGAGCGUCAUUGCUGCCCUUCAAGCCCGGCUUGUGUGUUGGGUCGUCGUCCCCUCCGGGGGACGGGCCCGAAAGGCAGCGGCGGCACCGCGUCCGGUCCUCGAGCGUAUGGGGCUUUGUCACCCGCUCGAUAAGGACCGGCCGGGCGCCAGCCGGCGUCUCCAACCUUUUUUUCUCAUGUUGACCUCGGAUCAGGUAGGGAUACCCGCUGAACUUAAGC